Molecule: ribosomal RNA, 2649 nt
Filed under: Triticum aestivum (bread wheat)
Lineage: Eukaryota; Viridiplantae; Streptophyta; Magnoliopsida; Poales; Poaceae
Description: partial small subunit ribosomal RNA
Source: RNAcentral
AAAGAGGCAUUAUUUUCAUUCGAGGACGUGCCUUCCUCUUUGCCUCCUGCUGUCACUAACAUUUUGCAGGAGUUCGCUGACGUCUUUCCACAAGACGUGCCACCGGGACUACCGCCUAUUCGAGGGAUUGAGCAUCAGAUUGACUUAAUUCCCGGUGCUUCACUACCAAACCGUGCACCAUACCGUACCAAUCCAGAGGAGACGAAGGAGAUUAUGCGUCAAGUACAAGAGCUUCUCGACAAAGGUUAUAUACGCGAAUCCCUUAGUCCUUGUGCUGUUCCUAUUAUUCUAGUGCCGAAAAAGGAUGGUACAUCACGUAUGUGUGUUGAUUGUAGAGGCAUUAAUAAUAUUACUAUUCGUUAUCGUCAUCCUAUUCCUAGGCUAGAUGAUAUGCUUGAUGAAUUGAGUGGCUCUACAAUAUUCUCCAAAGUUGAUUUGCGUAGUGGCUACCAUCAAAUUCGUAUGAAAUUGGGAGAUGAAUGGAAAACAGCAUUUAAAACUAAGUUUGGAUUAUAUGAGUGGUUAGUCAUGCCUUUUGGGUUAACUAAUGCUCCUAGUACUUUCAUGAGAUUAAUGAACGAAGUUUUACGUGCUUUCAUUGGACGAUUUGUGGUAGUUUACUUUGAUGACAUAUUGAUUUAUAGCAGAUCUUUGGAAGAACAUUUGGAACAUUUACGUGCUGUUUUUAUUGCUCUACGUGAUGCACGUUUGUUUGGUAACCUUGGGAAGUGCACCUUUUGCACCGACCGAGUAUCUUUUCUUGGCUAUGUUGUUACUCCACAGGGAAUUGAAGUUGACAAAGCCAAGAUUGAAGCUAUUGAGAGUUGGCCGCAGCCCAAAACGGUCACACAAGUGAGGAGUUUUCUUGGCCUCGCUGGAUUCUAUAGGCGUUUUGUGAGAGAUUUCAGCACCAUUGCUGCACCUCUCAACGAGCUUACAAAGAAGGAUGUGCCUUUUGUUUGGGGUACCGCACAGGAAGAAGCCUUAACGGUAUUGAAAGAUAAGUUGACACAUGCUCCUUUACUCCAACUUCCUGAUUUUAAUAAGACUUUUGAGCUUGAAUGUGAUGCUAGUGGAAUUGGAUUAGGAGGUGUGUUAUUACAAGAUGGCAAACCUGUUGCAUACUUUUCUGAAAAAUUGAGUGGGCCUAGUCUGAAUUAUUCUACUUAUGAUAAAGAAUUAUAUGCUCUUGUUCGGACUUUAGAAACAUGGCAACAUUAUUUAUGGCCCAAAGAAUUUGUUAUACAUUCUGAUCAUGAAUCUUUGAAACAUAUUAAAAGUCAAGCUAAGCUGAAUCGUAGACAUGCUAAAUGGGUUGAAUUCAUUGAGACUUUCCCUUAUGUCAUUAAACACAAGAAGGGAAAAGAAAAUGUUAUUGCUGAUGCAUUGUCUCGUCGCUAUACUAUGCUUUCACAACUUGACUUCAAAAUAUUUGGUUUGGAGACCAUCAAAGAUCAAUAUGUGCAUGAUGCUGAUUUUAAAGAUGUAAUGCAGAAUUGCAAAGAAGGAAGAAGGUGGAACAAGUUUGUCGUUAGCGAUGGAUUUGUGUUUCGUGCUAACAAGCUAUGCAUUCCAGCUAGCUCCGUUCGUCUUUUGUUGUUGCAGGAGGCGCAUGGAGGAGGAUUAAUGGGACACUUUGGUGUGAAGAAGACGGAGGACGUACUUGCUACACAUUUCUUUUGGCCAAAGAUGAGACGGGAUGUUGAGCGUUUUAUUGCUCGCUGCACUACAUGUCAAAAAGCUAAGUCACGACUCAAUCCUCAUGGUUUAUAUAUGCCUUUGCCUGUACCUAGUGUUCCUUGGGAGGAUAUAUCUAUGGACUUUGUUUUAGGUUUACCUCGAACAAAGAAGGGGAGGGAUAGCAUAUUUGUUGUCGUGGAUAGAUUCUCGAAAAUGGCACACUUUAUACCAUGUCAUAAAAGUGAUGAUGCUGUUAAUGUUGCUGAUUUGUUCUUUCGUGAAAUUAUUCGCUUGCAUGGUGUGCCAAAUACUAUUGUUUCAGAUCGUGAUACUAAAUUUCUUAGCCACUUUUGGAGAUGUUUAUGGGCUAAGUUGGGGACUAAACUGCUUUUUAGUACUACUUGUCACCCCCAAACUGAUGGACAAACUGAAGUAGUCAAUAGAACGUUGUCUACUAUGCUUAGGGCUGUUUUGAAGAAUAAUAAGAAAAUGUGGGAGGAAUGCUUGCCUCAUAUUGAAUUUGCUUAUAAUCGUUCAUUGCAUUCUACUACUAAGAUGUGCCCUUUUGAAGUUGUGUAUGGUUUCCUACCUCGUGCACCUAUUGAUUUGUUGCCUCUUCCAUCUUCGGAGAAGGUUAAUUUUGAUGCGAAACAACGUGCUGAAUUGAUUUUAAAAAUGCAUGAGUUAACUAAGGAAAACAUUGAGCGCAUGAAUGCUAAAUAUAAACUUGCUGGAGAUAAGGGUAGAAAACAUGUUGUGUUUGCACCUGGAGAUCUUGUUUGGUUACAUUUGCGUAAGGAUAGAUUUCCUGAUUUGCGCAAAUCAAAGUUAAUGCCACGUGCUGAUGGUCCCUUUAAGGUGUUAGAGAAAAUAAAUGAUAAUGCAUAUAAACUUGAGCUGCCUGCAGAUUUUGGGGUUAGUCCCACUUUUAACAUUGCAGAUUUGAAGCCUUAUUUGGGUGAGGAAGAU